Non-coding RNA from Reichenbachiella agariperforans, 36 nucleotides. Lineage: Bacteria; Pseudomonadati; Bacteroidota; Cytophagia; Cytophagales; Reichenbachiellaceae. The record is from Rfam.
AGAGGGCAAGCCGAAAACCUCAAAAUAGAGUAGGCG